Molecule: ribosomal RNA, 468 nt
Filed under: uncultured bacterium
Lineage: Bacteria
Description: partial 16S ribosomal RNA
Rfam family: Bacterial small subunit ribosomal RNA
Source: RNAcentral
GACGAACGCUGGCGGCGUGCUUAACACAUGCAAGUCGAACGGAAAGGCCCUGCUUUUGUGGGGUGCUCGAGUGGCGAACGGGUGAGUAACACGUGAAUAACCUGCCCUUGACUUUGGGAUAACUUCAGGAAACUGGGGCUACUACCGGAUAGGAGCUCCUGCUGCAUGGUGGGGGUUGGAAAGUUUCGGCGGUUGGGGAUGGACUCGCGGCUUAUCAGCUUGUUGGUGGGGUAGUGGCUUACCAAGGCUUUGACGGGUAGCCGGCCUGAGAGGGUGACCGGCCACAUUGGGACUGAGAUACGGCCCAGACUCCUACGGGAGGCAGCAGUGGGGAAUAUUGCACAAUGGGCGGAAGCCUGAUGCAGCAACGCCGCGUGCGGGAUGACGGCCUUCGGGUUGUAAACCGCUUUCGCCUGUGACGAAGCGUGAGUGACGGUAAUGGGUAAAGAAGCACCGGCUAACUACGUG